This 502-nucleotide ribosomal RNA is filed under the name uncultured bacterium. Its description in RNAcentral is "partial 16S ribosomal RNA". It matches the Rfam family "Bacterial small subunit ribosomal RNA", at positions 30 to 523 of the family's 1533-position model. The record is from RNAcentral.
AUUGAACGCUGGCGGCAGGCUUAACACAUGCAAGUCGAGCGGGGUGAUGGUGCUUGCACUAUCACUUAGCGGCGGACGGGUGAGUAAUGCUUAGGAAUCUGCCUAUUAGUGGGGACAACAUCUCGAAAGGGAUGCUAAUACCGCAUACGUCCUACGGGAGAAAGCAGGGGAUCACUUGUGACCUUGCGCUAAUAGAUGAGCCUAAGUCGGAUUAGCUAGUUGGUGGGGUAAAGGCCUACCAAGGCGACGAUCUGUAGCGGGUCUGAGAGGAUGAUCCGCCACACUGGGACUGAGACACGGCCCAGACUCCUACGGGAGGCAGCAGUGGGGAAUAUUGGACAAUAGGGGGAACCCUGAUCCGGCCAUGCCGCGUGUGUGAAGAAGGCCUUAUGGUUGUAAAGCACUUUAAGCGAGGAGGAGGCUCUUUUGGUUAAUACCCAAGAUGAGUGGACGUUACUCGCAGAAUAAGCACCGGCUAACUCUGUGCCAGCCGCCGCAGUAA